This 468-nucleotide ribosomal RNA is filed under the name uncultured bacterium. RNAcentral describes it as "partial 16S ribosomal RNA". It matches the Rfam family "Bacterial small subunit ribosomal RNA", at positions 28 to 507 of the family's 1533-position model. The record is from RNAcentral.
GACGAACGCUGGCGGCGUGCUUAACACAUGCAAGUCGAACGGAAAGGCCCUGCUUUUGUGGGGUGCUCGAGUGGCGAACGGGUGAGUAACACGUGAGUAACCUGCCCUUGACUUUGGGAUAACUUCAGGAAACUGGGGCUAAUACCGGAUAGGAGCUCCUGCUGCAUGGUGGGGGUUGGAAAGUUUCGGCGGUUGGGGAUGGACUCGCGGCUUAUCCGCUUGUUGGUGGGGUAGUGGCUUACCAAGGCUUUGACGGGUAGCCGGCCUGAGAGGGUGACCGGCCACAUUGGGACUGAGAUACGGCCCAGACUCCUACGGGAGGCAGCAGUGGGGAAUAUUGCACAAUGGGCGGAAGCCCGAUGCAGCAACGCCGCGUGCGGGAUGACGGCCUUCGGGUUGUAAACCGCUUUCGCCUGUGACGAAGCGUGAGUGACGGUAAUGGGUAAAGAAGCACCGGCUAACUACGUG